RNAcentral lists this ribosomal RNA (498 nucleotides) under uncultured bacterium. RNAcentral's name for it is "partial 16S ribosomal RNA". It matches the Rfam family "Bacterial small subunit ribosomal RNA", at positions 28 to 508 of the family's 1533-position model. The record is from RNAcentral.
GAUGAACGCUGGCGGCGUGCCUAAUACAUGCAAGUCGAGCGAACAGACGAGGAGCUUGCUCCUCUGACGUUAGCGGCGGACGGGUGAGUAACACGUGGAUAACCUACCUAUAAGACUGGGAUAACUUCGGGAAACCGGAGCUAAUACCGGAUAAUAUAUUGAACCGCAUGGUUCAAUAGUGAAAGACGGUUUUGCUGUCACUUAUAGAUGGAUCCGCGCCGCAUUAGCUAGUUGGUAAGGUAACGGCUUACCAAGGCAACGAUGCGUAGCCUACCUGAGAGGGUGAUCGGCCACACUGGAACUGAGACACGGUCCAGACUCCUACGGGAGGCAGCAGUAGGGAAUCUUCCGCAAUGGGCGAAAGCCUGACGGAGCAACGCCGCGUGAGUGAUGAAGGUCUUCGGAUCGUAAAACUCUGUUAUUAGGGAAGAACAAAUGUGUAAGUAACUAUGCACGUCUUGACGGUACCUAAUCAGAAAGCCACGGCUAACUACGUGC